AUGUCAUGGUGUGGGCGUUUCCUCAACAGCUCCUUAAACUAUUGCCAAGCGUCAGGAACAGCUUCAUCGUCCAGUUGUUUAAAAAGAUAGAUCUCAUUCCUGCACUU
Cynara cardunculus var. scolymus (artichoke) is the source of this 107-nucleotide small nucleolar RNA. NCBI's taxonomy places the organism in Eukaryota, Viridiplantae, Streptophyta, Magnoliopsida, Asterales, Asteraceae. The record is from RefSeq and is a predicted model, not a curated record.